CAUGCAAGUCGUGCGGUAACAGAGGUAGCUUGCUACCUGCUGACGAGCGGCGGACGGCUGAGUAACGCGUGGGAACAUGCCCCAAAGUGAGGAAUAACUGCCCGAAAGGGUAGCUAAUGCCGCAUAUGCUCUUCGGAGUAAAGCUUUCGAGCGCUUUGGGAGUGGCCCGCGUCCGAUUAGGUUGUUGGUGAGGUAAUGGCUCACCAAGCCUACGAUCGGUAGCUGGUCUGAGAGGAUGAUCAGCCAGACUGGGACUGAGACACGGCCCAGACUCCUACGGGAGGCAGCAGUAAGGAAUCUUCCACAAUGGGGGCAACCCUGAUGGAGCAACGCCGCGUGCAGGAUGAAGGCCUUCGGGUCGUAAACUGCUUUUAUAAGUGAAGAAUAUGACGGUAACUUAUGAAUAAGGGUCGGCUAACUACGUGCCAGCAGCCGCGGUCAUACGUAGGACCCGAGCGUUAUCCGGAGUGACUGGGCGUAAAGAGUUGCGUAGGUGGUUAGUAAAGUGAAUAGUGAAACCUGGUGGCUCAACCAUUCAGACUAUUAUUCAAACUCACUAACUCGAGAGUAGCAGAGGUAACUGGAAUUUCUAGUGUAGGAGUGAAAUCCGUAGAUAUUAGAAGGAACACCAAUGGCGUACGCAGGUUACUGGGCUAUUUCUGACACUGA
RNAcentral lists this ribosomal RNA (669 nucleotides) under uncultured bacterium. RNAcentral describes it as "bacterial SSU rRNA". It matches the Rfam family "Bacterial small subunit ribosomal RNA", at positions 54 to 749 of the family's 1533-position model. The record is from RNAcentral.